This is a non-coding RNA of Podarcis lilfordi (Lilford's wall lizard), 5870 nucleotides long. Lineage: Eukaryota; Metazoa; Chordata; Lepidosauria; Squamata; Lacertidae. The record is from the annotation of a GenBank genome assembly.
AGAAAGAGUGCACAACAUGACUAUGAGCGACACUGCUAGUUCGGUACCAUAUUUAACAUUUGUUGUUCUUAUUAUUUUUUUUAAAAAGCCUGUCUCCAGCCUCAGGGUUCCUCAGCAAGAAUCAUAAUGUUAUUUACUUACUAUGCAUUUAUUUUUUUAAAUGUUCUCUGGGUGUCAUGCUGGAAUAUGGAGAGUUCUGUUCACAUGCUUCUCAUGCGCUGGAAUGCCUUAAUGAAGAAUGCUGCAAAUUUCUUUUUUUAGGAGCCAUGACUAAUUUUAGGUUCAAAUACUAGGUUUUCUAACACAAAUCCUCCACACGAGGGUUGGAUAAUGACGCAAAGUCUCAAAAGGGGAAGAAAAGUUUGCCUGAAAGGCUUCUGCUGAAUCCCAUAAGGUGGGAAUGUGUUGUUUUAGAGUCCUGUUGCCAUGUUCCUUCAGAGACUGAGAUUACAAUGUUGGAUAAAAUAAUCAUUUUUUAUUAGCUCUGUGUGUGUCGUUGAGGGUGUACAAGCUUUCCAGUUUCUUCCUUUGUCAAAUUCGCUUCCCAUCAUAUCUGCCUUGAUUUGAACUGUAUCAAAAUUUAAAUGUGGGAACUGUGUAUUACCAGGUUCUUGUUUUUAUGGCCAUGGCUAGGUUCUGUAGAAUUACGUCAAACCGCUGUUUAUGCAAAUAGCUAGGAAGAAACAUGGUCAGAGGGAAAAGUAUGAAACUGAAGUGGCAAUCCCUAAUGACAGUGCUAACAGUUUCAGAGUAAUUGGGUCACCGGGCAACAGAGCUCAUUUGGGAUAUGGAGGCCUAAUUGUCUGAAUCUUGCCUGAGGAAAUCUUAACUGUUCUUUUGUGACAUAAUUUUCCUGAUCUCUCUCUCUCCCUCUCUCUCUCUCUCUCUCUCACCCCCCCCCCCACCCACAGACUCUCUCUCUUUGCAGUUUGAGCACAAAGUUCUUCAAUAUUUCUGUUCUGAAUACUGGUAGCAAAAGCUGUCGGCUAAUACUCUCCAUUUUUUCACAUAUUCCUCCCCUCAUCUCCAGUUCUGAAAAUUCUGAAGUCUCAAAUGCAAACCAGGGAACAAUCCCUGUGGUGAAGAGAGAACUCUGCCUUCCUAGUCACCCUGUGUGCUCAGUAGGUUGUGGACCUCAGGAAAUGGAGUGUGGCUGCUUUCAAGAACAGCAUGAAAAUGUUGACAGUAAAAGCAGAAAGAUGAAAAUGACACAGCCCACCUUCCAUUUUCCUCUGCUUCUGAAAGCUGGCAAAGUGUCCCCCCACCCCAUGUCAAGAAGACCAAGGCUGGUGAUGCAUCCCAGUGAUGCAAGGAACUGUGACUGACCGUGCUUUCCUAAUGGCUCUAUUAACACUUACUGCCUCAGCUUUAUCUGAAAAGUGCCCUGUGAAGCGUUGCAUGAACAGAGGCAGAAAGCACUUCAUGGGGAAGUGUAAUCCAUUUAUGAAAAUACAUAUCCUUCUAGGAGGAGGCAAAUGGAAGGUACAUCAGUAGUUCAAGUGUAACCAAGGAAAGGCCUUGUAUAUUUUUUUAAUACUGGAGUUAUCUGAAAAUUCUUUGCAGAUUUAAGAAAAGCCCAAACGUUUUCUAACGUGAGCAGAAGUACUGUAGCUUGUGUAAAUGAACACAGUUUAACAGCGCAAUGCCUUCCUGAAGUAAGUUUCAUUGUGCCUACUGACCAGGGAAAGCUCAGUCGGUAGAGCAUGAGACUCUUCAUCUCAGGGUUGUGGUUCGAGCCCUACAUUGGGCAAAAGAUUCCUGCAUUACAAAGGGUUGGACUAGAUGACCCUUGUCCCUUCCAACUCUACAAUUCUAUGAUGCUAUGAUUCUAUACCGGCCCAUCUUCCUGGUAUGUGCAUUUGGGAUCAUAGUCUUAUUUUGCAAUACCAAACAUACUUAAAGAGUAACCCUGUUUAUGCUUACAGUGGUACCUCUGGUUGCAAUCAGGAUCCGUUCCAGAGCCCCAUUCUCAGCCUGAGUAGAACGCAACCCGAGUCUGCAUGUGCGUGGGUCACAAUUCGCCAUUUCUGCGCAUGCGCGUGAUGUCAUUUUGAGCGUUUGCACAUGCGGGAGCAGUGAAACCUGGAAGUAACCCUUUCCGGUACUUCCGGGUCGGCAUGGGACGCAACCUGAAAAGAUUUAACCCGAAGCGUCUUUAACCCGAGGUAUGACUGUAUUCAGAAGCAAGUCCCAGUGAGUUCAGUGGAUGUGCACAGGAUUGCAGAGAGCAGCCUUCAAUUCCCUGCAUUGUUUAACACAGGAGUUACCAAACUGUGGUCCAUGGAGCAUCAAUGGCGUGUGAGAUUCAUUCAGGUGCUCUGCCAUGUGCCUACGGAUUUGUGAUUGAAGAGCGGUAGACAGCAUUUCAAUUGCAUUAAAUAGCCAGAUAGAUAUUUAAUUGUGUUUUUAUUGCUUUUCUUUCUUAUAUUGAUUUUUAUUGUAUUACACUUUGAAUUCUGUGGAAUUCAAAUUGUAAUAUAACAAAAUACAAUAUAUAAUAAAUAAAAGAAGCAAUAAAAAUACAACUAAAACCCAUGCCGCAUCUAGAGUAGCACAUUACAAUUGCUACAUUAUUAGUCUGCCAGGAUCUUCAGCAAUUUUGAAUAGUUCUGUGGUGGAAGGGGGGCUGGGCUUGGGAAGCACUGGUUUAAUAAAUGUUGUAAGCUACUUUUUGAACUCUGUAAGGAUGUUAGGCAGAAACUUAAUAAAUAAUCAAAUUAUUUUCCUCUUUUUACGACUAUCAAAGGCAGAAUAUAUUAGGUGGAAUACUCAAGUAGACGCAGGUGGGAAUGUAUGUAAGAAUUUGGGUUAAUUCUGCACCAUUUUAAAGUACACAUAAGUGCAAAUAUACACAGUCCUUCCUGAAGUAGCUGCUGCCUUUUAGUUUUCAUUGUUUUAUGAUGGUUUAUGUUUUGCUUUUAUUGUAUUUUAUGAUUGCUAUUAUUGCUGUAUGUUACCCUGGGAUCUGUUCCGAUGACGGAUGGUUUAGAAAAAUUUAAAAUUACACCAGUGAUAACACUAAAAACACAUCCACCCCCGUAAAAGCUCCAAGAUCCAAUAAAUAAAUAUAACUAAAACCAUUUCAUAAAUUCAGUAACUCAAUAAAAACCUGUUUAAGAGAAUCAACAGUGAACAACUCUUUUUACAGUCUGCGGAGAUGGGGCCAUGAUGUACCCACAUUUGCAAAACAAUCCACAAAUGGGAGGCACCUUCUGGGGGGUGGGGAACACUCUUGCUUCUGCCUUAAGGCUUCUGCAAACUUAAGGCUUGUACACACCUUAACAAUGAGCACAGCUACAACCUGUCUCUACACAUGUAUAAGUGUUUGCAUGAAAAUCUGUACACUUGUUGAUCCGUGAAGCUCAAUUACUUGCGAGCAUAGGAGCACAGGUUGUGCACUCAUUGAAUGUAACUUGUGAACACCCCUUCUGUUGUUCUCAGAGGCACAAAACUGUGAACAAGGCUUGUACGGAUGGUCUCAAAGUGCAGCCCACAGCUUUAUGGGCUUUUCAAGGGAGGUGGUUCAAAGUUGAUUUAAGUAGCUUUGAAAGGGAGGGGAGGUUUAAAAGUCUACCCGACAGCUCCCAAAGUCUUUUACUGAUAAAAGUUGGCAGAUAUUUUCAUAGGUUGAGCCUUUUUAUCAGGGUAAUUUGAUCAUUAGAGCUCCUACUCAUGCAGCAGAGACUCAGUUGAGACUUGACCCGGCGCCAUCUUCUCUGCUACUCGGAUGGUCUCAAAGUGCAGGCGGGCGAAGAACCUCCGUGCCAAACUACUUCGUCUUCUUCCUUUUCUUCUUCCAUGUGGAUGUCUGCAUGGAAGGGCUCCUUGCUUUGGACAGUUGCCCCCAGUAGGAUAAACCAUCAUGCUUGCCCUCGGUGCCUCUUUCAAGUGUUUACAACUCCUGAAAAGGGCUUGAGAGAAAAUUGGAUGUUUUUCAGUUGUAAUGGGGGCAUAUAGCCACAUUUGCCCUCAUAGCCCUUAUUUCACAGUGGGUCCUCUUGUCUCUCUUCCCAAUCCCUGCUAAUAGAAAUGGUGUAUAUCUGUUCAGUUUGCAGCAUUGAUAACCAAGAGUAGAGCAGAGUAGCUCACCCAGCCUUGGUUGAACACCCCUUUCAGCAGAGGCAUUGUUGAGGAGUUCCUUCCUUCAAAACCAUAGCAAUAUGCCAAGUCUUUGGGUUCUGCUUGUGAAUAGUAGCAGCUGCCAUUUUGGCAUAUACCUUUCCAGAUUGGUGGGCACCUCUGUUUCACUUCCCAGUUUGCACUAUGGGAGCUCAUUCAUCAGUAUGCUUAACCUCCACACACAAACAAAACAGAUUAUUUAGUGGUUGCUCUCUCAUAAUUGCUUUCCUUUUGAACACAACCUUUCCCAUGCAAGUCACAAAAGGACGUAAUGGAACAUAAUAGGUGUCGUUCUCUGUCUGAAAAUGCAGCAGGAAGUGGUUUAAUUUAGCCGAUGUCGUUUCUUUGAAGUGUAAUGGCAGGUUCAAAGAGUUGCAGCAAAGGAAGUUUAAGGCAGCAUAUGUUUUGAAACUCCGGCUUCAAAUAUCCAUAAUUAAUACCACAUUAAAAAAAGAGGCUUGUGGCUAAAACUUCCUUCUGGAGUCUCUGAAAGAACAGAUAAUGAAGUUCAAAGCCUGACUUUAAUUUAUAUUUUUUAACUACUAGAAUGCCUCUCCAGUCCCCAUGGAUUCUCUGAGUUUAUAUUUAUGCUUAUAAUGGGUUUCACCUGCUACUUCCAUUUCCUGAUUUAUUAUAUGUUUUAUCUCAAGAUGAUAAAACAGAUGAGCUGUUCCCAUCUUUGCUAUGUUCUUGUCAUCCGAUUCAGAAUGAGGAGUCUGAAUAAAGUCCUCCUGGAGAUACUCUCUUAGAAGAAUCCUAUUAUAUGGAAGCCUCUUUAGCAUCUGGAGUAGAUCAGUUUUCACAUUUAGAAGGCUGGAGAAACUGCACUCAUUAGCAGGAAAUCAAAUUACGGUUACUUAGAAACUGCUGCUUGACAGGUGUAAAGAGAUUUUGCACUUACCAAAAUGUUAGAGACUUCAGAACUUCAGUCAACAUGAUUCAAAGAGCCCAAACUAGUUCUGAUUCAGCAAUAAACAGGAUAAUUUAUGGAUUUUCUUUUCCAUAUAGAUCAAAUAUGAAAUGCACUUAACCUUUGCAUCAUCUUUCUUGUCUGCUGAAUUUCAGAGCUUCUUUCAUGACAAGAUUCUUUGCAAAACUAAUGCAAGCAGGCAUGCCUUCAGCUUAAAUCAGAAAUCCCAAUGCUGCAAAAUGCCAGUUGUGAAUUCAUUCCUGACUUACAGUGUUUGGUACAGAAAGCCACACAUCUCAGUUCCCUCUCUCUCCCUUCCUCUUCUUCUCUCCUGUGGUCCUGUCACUUGCUGACUCACCACCAAGCUGUGCCAUCCUCCUUUCUUCUGCCCUCUGCUCCCCGCCAUAGUCACUCAAGUCUCCUCCCACCUUGCCGGACCUCCACACUGCCCUGCUUUCUCCUCCACAUUGCCCCCAGUCAGUCUGUUCUCCUACCACCCAUCUCUCCACAUUCCUUUCGCCUACAACAAUUAGUGGCUGGCAGUUCUUUCUUUCUUUACAUUUUUACGGGAUGUCUGGGUCCACUGUAAAGCAAAGACCACCAAGGCUCCAGCUGUCUACCGUCUUCAUCUUACACCAGUGCCUCUGGGCCCAGAUGGAAUUGCUACUAGCAGAUUUGGUGUAGCAUUGUGGGUAUUUUGCUAGUACUUUUCAAGUACUCAAAAUGGUUCAUGUACAUUUUCUCAGCAAUCCUGUCAAAAGCCCUCAACGGGUAAGAUUUGACCUUGUGGCUUACACAUAUUUACACCGAAAGCAUGGCCUGGCAUCUUCCUUUCAAUACU